This is a long non-coding RNA of Suricata suricatta (meerkat), 483 nucleotides long. RefSeq lists it as uncharacterized. The transcript is spliced from 3 exons. The record is from RefSeq and is a predicted model, not a curated record. NCBI's taxonomy places the organism in Eukaryota, Metazoa, Chordata, Mammalia, Carnivora, Herpestidae.
UACUGGCCUUUGAAACGGAAUAGGAAACAGAAAACGUGACCAGAUCUUGUCUGUAUUCUGUACUUGAAGACCCUAUUCAGGUUUAUGAUGUUUUCCCACAUUUCUUGCCAUCCAAAGGAAUCACUUCCCACUGAAUUUGCUACUCUCUCUUCAGUAGGACAUCCAUAUGCUACAGAAGACCUACCUGGUUUCGGGUUUAUGCACUUAAAAUCCAAGGGGAAAAAGGACGUAGGGAUGUUCAGCCUGUGUCCAGCCUGAAGCAGGACCACUUUGUAGAUGCCCCAGGGACCACUACAAAAGCCUGUAACUGGAGCUCAGUGGGACCUCCCGCCUCUUUGAUGAGGGCUGAAACACAAACUGUCCAUGUAGAGAAGGAAGGCAAUGGAGCGGAAGAAAGGACACAAUUUUAUGUCACUCUUCCAUUGUUUUCACUUUUCCUUUUUCUAAGUCAGGUGUCAGUAGCUAGCUGAUGUUUUAUUUUAA